RNAcentral lists this long non-coding RNA (1061 nucleotides) under Malus domestica (apple). RNAcentral describes it as "long non-coding RNA (MDOM_LNC012108)". The record is from RNAcentral. Lineage: Eukaryota; Viridiplantae; Streptophyta; Magnoliopsida; Rosales; Rosaceae.
UCUACUUACGUGAGUUCCCAGAAAUAAAACUGUGAGGGCGUGGCUGGGUCCCAAAGCAGAUAAUAUCGUGCUACGGUAGAGUCGAGCCCAAAAUGUGGUAGGGGCUCGGGUCGAGAUGUGACAAUAAGGGCAUGACUAGCCCAUGAUGGGUGCCUUGUUAAAACCUAGUCAGGUGACAAAAACUCAAUGGGAAAAAUGCUCCUAAUCGUAGGAAAAAGAAUAUAUUAAGGUCAAGUGAGUAUACUUCUGGAUACUCCUUUUGUGGCUAAACUUCCAAAUGAAAAUUACAAGCAUUGUAUUACGCAUACAAAUUCCUCGGACCAGUCUAUUAGGUUAACUUCAACAGUGACUUUGUAAAGAGGUUGGCAAGGUUGUCUUGGGAUCGGAUUUGUUCGACUUCAAUUUUCUGAUGCUCUGUUGAUGUAAGAAAAGCACAAUAUGCUUGGUGUUGAUUUUGUUGAUGUAUCAUAUUUUGUUUCGGUCGACAUUGUCAUCAUAGAUCGUCGUUGGGACUCAAUGAUGGAUGAAAAAUGUAGGUACUUCAAAUAUGUUGAACAAUAGCUCUCAACCAUGUCUCCCACAUGUGGUGUAGUGAGGUGUGGUGAGUUUUGGAACAAUUCGAAGAUUUUGUAACUAAGUUACAUUUCAUGGACCUCCAAGAUAUUGUGGCAUCUUUUAUGGUCAUAAUUUGGAAACAUGCCUUGUGUUGGUUUGAUAAGUAACAUGCGUCGUCAGCAUAACAAACAAGACAAGCAUCAUUCAAAUGAUUAAUGGGUUGGACCUGCUCGAGAUACAUAAGGAUAAGUCCAAAUUCGUAUUACCUUUAGGAUAAUGGAAAUUUGUCUUUAAUGCCAAUUCAAUAGCUACGUGUAGCUGCAAUGCUGCAUCUUUACCAAUUUAUCAAUAGUGAAGGAGAUCUCUUGUAUAAUGCAAUGAACUAAGUACAAUAAAGCACAAAGUUGAACUUAAGUAUGGAAAUUUUGGUUCCACAAUCUCUUCAAGGGUCUUAUUUGCAUCUAACGUAUGGAUAAUCAAGGGUGUACUUUGUUUGUACCAUACUU